GGCCUACGGGGCGCAGCAGUGGGGGAUAUUGCACAAUGGGGGGAACCCUGAUGCAGCGACGCCGCGUGGGUGAAGAAGCGCCUCGGCGCGUAAAGCCCUGUCAGCAGGGAAGAAAAUGACGGUACCUGAAGAAGAAGCCCCGGCUAACUACGUGCCAGCAGCCGCGGUAAUACGUAGGGGGCAAGCGUUAUCCGGAUUUACUGGGUGUCAAGGGAGCGUAGACGGCUGCGCAAGUCAGAAGUGAAAGCCCGGGGCUCAACCGCGGGACUGCUUUUGAAACUGUGUAGCUAGAGCG
Molecule: ribosomal RNA, 295 nt
Filed under: uncultured bacterium
Lineage: Bacteria
Description: partial 16S ribosomal RNA
Rfam family: Bacterial small subunit ribosomal RNA
Source: RNAcentral